CCCCAAAACCUCACAUGACAGGGACCGUUAACAACCAGUUAUACUGCUCAUGAGCCAUGCAGGCAGCCCUACAAGCUAACCAUGACUCCUGGUUCUGUUCCAAUUACCCAGGUACAAUCAGAAGGCAGGUUUCAAUCAGCUGGUCAGAGAAAGGGUCAUUGUGAACAGACCACCCAAAGGUAGGAAAGAGCCCAGGCAGACAAGCUUUGGCGAAGAGCACUCGCGCUUUGGACCUAAGUGUCAAGGUCUGCGCCGAGUGCACAGCCCUCACCUUUGGGUGGCUGACCUACACACUGUCAGGUGAGAGCUUUCAUUUUUAAGGCCCCCCAGAUGAUCCUAAUAUGUAGUCAGAUUGAGACCCACUGUUCUAACAGGCCCAAAACAAAAAGAAAAAGGGUGGCUGACUCUUCCCAAAAGUGCUGGUUA
RNAcentral lists this long non-coding RNA (426 nucleotides) under Homo sapiens (human). RNAcentral's name for it is "HSALNT0248881". The record is from RNAcentral. Lineage: Eukaryota; Metazoa; Chordata; Mammalia; Primates; Hominidae.